AGAUGUGAGGGUGAUCUGGCUGCAACAUCUGUCACCCCAUUGAUUGCCAGGGUUGAUUUGGCUGAUCUGGCUGGCUAGGUUGGUGUCACCUUCUUCCCUCAAUAAUCCAUAUACAUCCCUCCUGAAACUAUGUGCUCAGUCAAAAAGGAUGACCACCCUUAAUAGAGGAAGACUGUUCCUCAGUCAAGAGUAUACAAGUAGCUGCACUCUAAUGCUAGAACCUCCAAACAAGCUCUUAAGAAACACCUUACUUUCCAUAUUCUCUUU
This 267-nucleotide small RNA is filed under the name Octodon degus (degu). RNAcentral's name for it is "7SK RNA (ENSODEG00000024502.1)". It matches the Rfam family "7SK RNA", at positions 1 to 248 of the family's 331-position model. Rfam says of the family: 7SK was discovered as an abundant small nuclear RNA in the mid-70s but a possible function has only recently been suggested. Two independent studies have found that 7SK RNA binds the CDK9/cyclin T complex (known as elongation factor P-TEFb). The record is from RNAcentral. Lineage: Eukaryota; Metazoa; Chordata; Mammalia; Rodentia; Octodontidae.